UAGGUCUUUGUACUUGAACUGGAACUGUAUCACUGACUCUCCGGGGGGGGUCCAGCUGGCUGACUACAGAUCUGAGGACUUGUCAGCCUCCAAGGCAUAAAUAAUGCUAGGGAUAAGGACGUCCACAGAUGUCUUCUGUUCGGCCACACCACAACGGGGCCUCCUGCCUCUGCCACCUUGGAUCUCAGGCGCCAGUUACUCACCGUAGGCUCUCUGAGUGGAAGGAAUGAAUUCUAUGUACACUUCACCAGCAGAACUGGAAUGCCUUCAGUCUCUCUGGUUCUCAGGUGUACGUCCUCUGGGGCUCGAGCAGAUAGCACCGAAGACCUGCUUCAAAUCGCCUUUCAUGUUUUCCUGUUGGAAAGAUAAUCAUUGGAGAAUAAUCUGGUCACCGUCGCAAAAAUGGAAACGAAUCAAACACUGAGAGUUGCCACAGUGGCCGGGGUUCCGCAGCCUGGGGCAGAGGUUCUCAGGACACUGUGCCUCACUAGCCAGAAAUCAGGACAGAUUAAACCUAUCCUCUCCGUCUCAGCUGCUCUUUAAAUCAAUGCAAUUCCUCCACAUUAACAUGAAUUGAAACAUGCAUUGCCUUUCAACUUAAUUGAGUACUUACUUUGUGUGAAUCACUGCACAAAAUAGGGGAGAGAAAAUGAGGGAGGCAAAUAAGGCAUGCAGCCUGCUGUCAAUGAGUUUACAGUUAAUUUCAGGGCACAGUUUUUUCUUCUCCUCUUAAUUAGGUGUAACUCUAAGACAAAUAAAUGGGAGGAAAAGUGUAUUCUGCAAGUAUGUUAGAUCCCUUUAAUAAAAAACAAAACAAAAACAUACAAAGUCCCAAUGUAGGCAACUCAGGACAUUUUUUUAAUUCCCUUUUUUGUUGGAUUUCUCAUAGGAUCCAGUUUAUUCUAUAAUAUUCAUUAGACUUUGGCAAUAUUAAAACAUUAUAGAUAAUUUGAACUAAGUUCUAUUUUUCCCCGUAGGUAUGGAUUGUCUGUUGGAAAGAUAUAUUGUUUCUACAUUUCUUGGGGAGCGGGAAACUGAAUUAUACCUGUUGUCUCUCCAGCCCUCUCCCUGCCAUGCCCUGGGCAUACUGAGUGAGUUAUUAGCACAGAGAAGAGGAAGGUUUGGUCAAACUUGGGCGAUGGUUCUCACGGAUCCACAACAGGACAAGAAAGGAGUAAAACACACCUGGGUAGUGGUUGUGUAUGAAAAUUUGACCAAGUAAUUAUUUCAGUAUUCAUUGUUGUGUGUUCCAUAGGUUGAAGGACUAUACACGUUUUCCAGAAAUUUAUUUCAGGCCUGAGAAUAUGUCAUCAUUUUUCCAGUGUUAAGAGACUAACAUGACUCUAUGCACUAGACAUUUUAUGCAGUGUCUGUGAUGUAUUUUCAUAACUAUGAGCCAACACUAGACAUGCCUUUGUCUCGAGUACUAUCUACCCGAAUUGAAAAUGUGCCAAUUUUUUUUUUUUUUUACCAUCAACAGUCUUCUUAAUUAAGCUGCCAAUACUGUA
Long non-coding RNA from Nycticebus coucang (slow loris), 1508 nucleotides. RefSeq lists it as uncharacterized. Lineage: Eukaryota; Metazoa; Chordata; Mammalia; Primates; Lorisidae. The record is from RefSeq and is a predicted model, not a curated record. The transcript has 3 exons.